This is a non-coding RNA of Nematostella vectensis (starlet sea anemone), 86 nucleotides long. Lineage: Eukaryota; Metazoa; Cnidaria; Anthozoa; Actiniaria; Edwardsiidae. The record is from Rfam.
GCCUCGUUAGCGCAGUAGGCAGCGCGUCAGUCUCAUAAUCAAAUGUGGAAAUCUGAAGGUCGUGAGUUCGAUCCUCACACGGGGCA